GAUGAACGCUGGCGGCGUGCCUAAUACAUGCAAGUCGAGCGAACAGACGAGGAGCUUGCUCCUCUGACGUUAGCGGCGGACGGGUGAGUAACACGUGGAUAACCUACCUAUAAGACUGGGAUAACUUCGGGAAACCGGAGCUAAUACCGGAUAAUAUAUUGAACCGCAUGGUUCAAUAGUGAAAGACGGUUUUGCUGUCACUUAUAGAUGGAUCCGCGCCGCAUUAGCUAGUUGGUAAGGUAAUGGCUUACCAAGGCGACGAUGCGUAGCCGACCUGAGAGGGUGAUCGGCCACACUGGAACUGAGACACGGUCCAGACUCCUACGGGAGGCAGCAGUAGGGAAUCUUCCGCAAUGGGCGAAAGCCUGACGGAGCAACGCCGCGUGAGUGAUGAAGGUCUUCGGAUCGUAAAACUCUGUUAUUAGGGAAGAACAAAUGUGUAAGUAACUAUGCACGUCUUGACGGUACCUAAUCAGAAAGCCACGGCUAACUACGUG
This 497-nucleotide ribosomal RNA is filed under the name uncultured bacterium. Its description in RNAcentral is "partial 16S ribosomal RNA". It matches the Rfam family "Bacterial small subunit ribosomal RNA", at positions 28 to 507 of the family's 1533-position model. The record is from RNAcentral.